GCUAUCGGGGUCCGAUUAAGCCAUGCGAGUCGAGAGGGUUCGGCCCUCGGCGUACUGCUCAGUAACACGUGGAUAACCUGCCCUAAGGAAGGGGAUAACCCCGGGAAACUGGGGAUAAUACCCUAUAGGUUACAGAUGCUGGAAUGCCCUGUAACCCAAAGCUCCGGCGCCUUAGGAUGGAUCUGCGGCCGAUUAGGUUGUUGUUGGAGUAACGGCCCAACAAGCCAGUAAUCGGUACGGGUUGUGGGAGCAAGAGCCCGGAGUUGGAUUCUGAGACACGAAUCCAGGCCCUACGGGGCGCAGCAGGCGCGAAAACUUUACAAUGCGGGCAACCGUGAUAAGGGAACCUCGAGUGCCUGUACAUGCAGGCUGUUCGGGUGUCUAAAACACACCUGAAGAAAGGGCCGGGCAAGACCGGUGCCAGCCGCCGCGGUAAUACCGGCGGCUCGAGUGGUGGCCACUUUUAUUGGGCUUAAAGCGUUCGUAGCUGGGUUGUUAAGUCUCUUGGGAAAUCUGACGGCUCAACCGUCAGGCGUCUAAGGGAUACUGGCAAUCUUGGAACCGGGAGAGGUGAGGGGUACUUCGGGGGUAGGAGUGAAAUCCUGUAAUCCUCGAGGGACCACCUGUGGCGAAGGCGCCUCACCAGAACGGCUUCGACAGUGAGGGACGAAAGCUGGGGGAGCAAACCGGAUU
Molecule: ribosomal RNA, 693 nt
Filed under: uncultured archaeon
Lineage: Archaea
Description: bacterial SSU rRNA
Rfam family: Archaeal small subunit ribosomal RNA
Source: RNAcentral